Molecule: non-coding RNA, 2316 nt
Organism: Microcebus murinus (gray mouse lemur)
Lineage: Eukaryota; Metazoa; Chordata; Mammalia; Primates; Cheirogaleidae
Source: RefSeq, a predicted model, not a curated record
AUGGGCUUCUUGCACCCCCUGCCCCAGUCCCAGGCAGUGUGCGCGGGCCUGGCCCUGGCCCACGCUGCCUGGAAGAGUGGGGGUCCCCCCCCGCACCCAGGGCUUCUGACCCCAUGCCAGUGUUGUGACGCUUCUCCAGGAGAGGCCUGGAAGCCACGCAGAUGCAGCAGUUUUGCAGCAGAAGCACAUACCACAAAAGCAGAAGAGGAUUCCUUUCUCCAGUGGUUCCUGCUUCUCACCCCUGUGACUGCCUUUGGCUUGGGGACAUGGCAGGUCCAGCGUCGGAAGUGGAAGUUGAAACUGACUGCAGAGUUAGAGUCUAGAGUUCUGGCUGAGCCUGUCCCUCUGCCAGCAGACCUGGUGGAACUGAAAACACUGGAGUACAGGACGGUGAAGGUCAGAGAGCAUUUUGACCACUCCAAGGAGCUCUACAUGAUGCCCCGGACCAUGGCAGACCCUGCCUGGGAGGCCCAGGAGGCCGGCCGGAUCUCCUCCUCAGCUGAGAGCGGGGCCUACGUCAGCACUCCCUUCCACUGCACUCACCUGGAACCACAAUCCUGGUCAAUAGAGGGUUUGUCCCCGGGAAGACAGUGAAUCCUGACACCCGAAGGAAAGGCCAGAUUGAGGGAGAAAUGGACCUCGUUGGGAUGGUGAGGCUGACAGAAACCAGGAAGCCCUUUGUCCCCAAGAACAAUCUGGAAAGGAACGACUUGGCAUUACUGAGACCUGGAGGCCAUGGCCAAGAUCACAGGCACAGACCCCAUUUUCAUCGAUAACAACUUCCAGAGCACAGUCCCUGGAGGACCUAUUGGAGGGCAGACUAGAGUCACAGUGAGGAAUGUGCACAUGCAGUACAUCCUUACCUGGUAUGAACUCUGUGCAGCCGCCUCAUACCUGAAAUUUCUACGUCAGAGACCUGGUACGUGAUGAGAUGACUUGACCCAUCCCUGUCCACAAAAAACUAGGAAGUUGCUGAACAAACAAAACAGACCAGACUUAUGCAAGACCAUAUACCAUUGGUAUAAAUAAAAGUCCUGAGCCUCUCUUCUUACCUUAAAUGAUAGUGACUGGUUGAUCAUAAAAUCCUGACUUAGUUUCAAAGUCUGCCUCAGGAAUUUAAGACAGCUUUUUCAAAACUUGACUGGCUAUACAAAAAAUAAAAAAUUAAAACAAAAAAGACCACUUGACCAGCCAAAUAAAACAAAAAACAAAAAAGAAUAUAAUAUAGGAGAAUAUCUUCAUGAUCCUGGGAUAAAGAGAUGUUUUUUAGAGAAGACACAAAAAGCACUAACCCUAAAGAGUGAUAAAAUUUUUUAAUAAUUUUUUAUUAGAGGCUAGUCAAGUAGAGCAGUGGGAGUGUAGAAGGAACAAAGGAAUCUGUAACUGGAUGUGAUCAAUUAGUUGUAAACAUCAUGGCACUCGGACCAGCCAAGAGUGAUAAAGUGUACCACAUAGAAUUAGGAACAUCUGUUCAUCACGAGAUACCAUUGAGAGGGUGAAAAAAACACAUUAACAGACUGAGAGAAGAUAUUAUUUGAAAUACAUAUAAUCAAAAGGGCUUAUAUCAAGAAUAUAUUAAAAAUCCCCAAAGAGCAAUAAUAAUCCUGCAGCAAAUGGACUAGAAACUUACUUAGGCACCUUUCUAAAAAGGAUACCCCAAUGGCCAAAGAUGCUCAACUUUGUUAGGAAUUAGAAAAAUGCAAGUUGAAAUCUCGAGAUACUGUAGCACAUUCACCAGAACGGUUAAUAUCCAUAUCAAUUAAAUCUACUAAGUACACUGUUAGGUUUAUACCCCCCAAAAUGAGUGCACAAGUCAUCAAAAGCUAUGUGCGAGAAUGCACAUAGCAGCAUUAUUUGUAAUACCCCCAAACUGGAACCCAGUAUUCAUUUCCCACGGCUGCUGGGCCUGGGAUUCUGCAAGCCACCCUUCUGCCAUGCCAGCUCCACCAACUGAGGGAGCUAAAGGAAGCCUGAAAAAUAGGAGGGAAAGGGGACUUGCUUCUUACUCCUUGUGCCUGAGCAUUGUGGUGGCAGCAGCUCUUUAACUAGCAGCUUCACUUGUCUCAAGUUUCCAGCUUUUUCCCACUCUCAGGACCAGCUUUUACUGUGCCUCUCAAAGAUGCCAGCAGUAAUUGUACAGCACUCCUUCCCCUGAAGUCUGAGUUGCACCUCCGCAGGGCUCCUGCUCCAAGCUCCUAGGUUCCAAUACCCCCCCCCUUUCCUUUUGUUAACCUGCAUCCCUCUGGGGACUGUAACUGCUCCCUUCCCCUGCCACCCCUGUGUUCCGUGGCAUUUCCCUUUUGCCUUUGCAGUCCU